RNAcentral lists this small RNA (813 nucleotides) under uncultured Microdochium. RNAcentral's name for it is "eukaryotic LSU rRNA". The stretch from base 537 to 813 matches the Rfam family "Eukaryotic large subunit ribosomal RNA", at positions 1 to 281 of the family's 3401-position model. Lineage: Eukaryota; Fungi; Ascomycota; Sordariomycetes; Xylariales. The record is from RNAcentral.
CUUGGUCAUUUAGAGGAAGUAAAAGUCGUAACAAGGUCUCCGUAGGUGAACCUGCGGAGGGAUCAUUACUGAGUUUUUAACUCUCCAAACCAUGUGAACUUACCACUGUUGCCUCGGUGGUCGGUGCUGGAAACAGUGCUGCCACCGGUGGACUACUAAACUCUUGUUAAUUUUUGUCAAAUCUGAAUCAAAACUAAGAAAUAAGUUAAAACUUUCAACAACGGAUCUCUUGGUUCUGGCAUCGAUGAAGAACGCAGCGAAAUGCGAUAAGUAAUGUGAAUUGCAGAAUUCAGUGAAUCAUCGAAUCUUUGAACGCACAUUGCGCCCAUUAGUAUUCUAGUGGGCAUGCCUGUUCGAGCGUCAUUUCAACCCUUAAGCCUAGCUUAGUGUUGGGAGACUGCCUAAUACGCAGCUCCUCAAAACCAGUGGCGGAGUCUGUUCGUGCUCUGAGCGUAGUAAUUUUUUAUCUCGCUUCUGCAAGCCGGCCAGACGACAGCCAUAAACCGCACCCUCUCGGGGGGCACUUUUUUAAUGGUUGACCUCGGAUCAGGUAGGAAUACCCGCUGAACUUAAGCAUAUCAAUAAGCGGAGGAAAAGAAACCAACAGGGAUUGCCCUAGUAACGGCGAGUGAAGCGGCAACAGCUCAAAUUUGAAAUCUGGCCUUCUGGUCCGAAUUGUAAUUUGUAGAGGAUGCUUUUGGUUAGGUACCUUUCGAGUUCCUUGGAACAGGACGCCUUAGAGGGUGAGAGCCCCGUACGAUUGGAUACCGAGCCUCUGUAAAGCUCCUUCGACGAGUCGAGUUGUUUGGGAAU